UUUCCGUAGGUGAACCUGCGGAAGGAUCAUUACUGUGUUUGGGCCUCACGGCUCUUCAUUCAGACGCCGUGCGCAUUCGGGCUGCACGCGGACGCAGCAUUUAUCCACCCCUGUACACACACACGGUGGCGAGGUGGGUAACGGCUCGCCGCUGAUCUUUACACACGUCUAAAAGUCAUUGUAUGUGUAUUUGGGAUAAAAACACAACUUUCAGCAACGGAUCUCUUGGCUCUC
Molecule: unclassified non-coding RNA, 234 nt
Filed under: plant metagenome
Description: partial contains small subunit ribosomal RNA, internal transcribed spacer 1, and 5.8S ribosomal RNA
Source: RNAcentral